RNAcentral lists this long non-coding RNA (2596 nucleotides) under Homo sapiens (human). Lineage: Eukaryota; Metazoa; Chordata; Mammalia; Primates; Hominidae. The record is from RNAcentral.
GUAACGGUUCCUGCAAUCUGGGGACAACGCUGCGGGCAUCGAGGCGGUGGCGCUUGAUUUCCUUUAAAGUACCUACCACGCCACCCGCUACCUGUAAUAAUCCAUCUGAAGAGGUCGCCGGGCAGCGCCUCGGCAGACAGACUGACCUGCGGGGAGGUGCGGUUUCCAGUGGCGCGGGACAGCCGGCUCCGAGAAGGAACUGGGACCUUUGCCUAGGGCAAGACGUCAACAGGAACCCGCAGGCCCGGCCUGGACACCUGCUGCCCUCACUGGAAGCUUUAACUCCCACUCGAGUCUCUUGGCGUCGUCAGUGCCAGGAGCGCUUGGAUUGGGAUGGGGACGGAGAAGGGUGCCUCGCUCGCCGAGCCCCGCUGCCCUUGGGGACCUGGCAAAGUCGAGGUUUCCUCACAGCGUUGAGAUUGAGACUGGGGGUCGGCAGCACUGAGAAGUGAAGGAAUAUUUGGGAGGAUCAGAAGCUUGGUCCUGAUUUUGCCAUCAACAGGAACUUGAUGACUUCAAGGGAGUCCCCAAACCCUGGGUUUCUGUUUUCUCAACUCUAACAUGAGGGGCUAGAUGCAUCUGGUUUAGUUAGUCUCCAUGAUGGUUUAGUUCGUCUCCAUGAUCCUGUGAAUUUCAGAUGUUGAAAAUCUUCGGAAAAGCCCUGAAAGAUGAACAGUGGUCUCAAAUAGUCAAGACCCCCUGCUGGGAGGAGCUUCUAUCCUGCUCUGUGGAAGAAAUGGGCAUGCCAGAUGCCUGGAAGAUCAGAGGCUCACAUUCCAGAUGUAAAGUGAAAGAGUGCCAGAAAAGCAAGUGAGAGCCAUGAGAUUACCACAAGUCUGUGAGCACAUUUUUUUCAAGGCUUACAGAAUCCCAAAGCUUGCCCUUGCUUCAGGAAAAAGAACUGGUUGACACCUGAGAGGUUUUAAGCCACAAGAAGCUGAGGCCCGUUGUGAGGAGGGCAGGGACAGUGGGGCCAGGCCACACGCGACGCGUCACCCACCUCCUGCCUCACCUCCCCCCACUGAGAUGUCUGCUGGGUGGGAGGAGGCUUAUUGCCAGAGAACAGUCUGGUGUUUUCUGUUCCUGCUUCAGGAAGUCCCCCUUCUCCCGCCACCCCCGCAGCUCCUCAGCCUGGAAACAACUUUUAGAGAGGAGAAGGGAAGCAAAGCUUUCAAAAGCAGAUACCUGUGGGGUUUGAAGGGAGGUGCCCCUUGUUCAAGUAUUUCUCCCCCAAAAUUGAAAGGACACUUCAGAUUCAUUCAUUUUAGUUUUGAUGUAUCUUCAGUAAUUAAGAAGCCACUAAGAAAACUGACCCUGGGAAGGCAAAUUCCUGAAGCUGAGUCAGAUACAGCCAGCUCUUACCAUACCAUCUGACCCUCAGUUCCCUCUGACCUCAUCUCUUCCCACCUCCUCUCUGUCUGACUCAGCAGUGAGGCCACACAGGCCUCCCUGCUGAUUCGAGAAUGGCUCCCACCUGAGGCCUUGGGCCCCCCUUGUUUUCGCCCCCACAUACCCAUCUGGCUUCCCCUUCACUGCUUCCAAGGCUCUCCUCAGAGAGCAUCCUGUCAGACCAGUCUUUCCUGGACAUGCUGAGUGUACCUUUCCCCUAUUUCAUUUUCCUUCGUGGCACCUUUUACCACCUGAUAUGUUCAAUGGCUCUAUGUUUGUUUGUAGUAAGUCUCGCCUGACUAGAAUAUAAGACCCAUGGGAGAAGAGACUUUCUGCUCUACCCUUGGCACAUACCGGGUGCUCAAAAAAUAUUCAAGUGCUCGCUUCGGCAGUACAUGUACUAAAACUGGAACAAUACAGAGAACAUUAGCACGGCCCCUUCACAAGGAUGACACACAAAUUUAUGCAGCAUUCCAUAAUUUCGAGAAAUACAAAUCAAAACCACAAUGAGAUAACAUCUCACACCAGUCAGAAUGGCUAUUAUUAAAAAGACAGAAAAUAAGAGUUGCUGGUGAGGCUGCAGAGGAAAGGGGAAAGCUUAUAUGCUCUUAAUGGAAACACAAACUAGUUGAGCCACUGUGGAAGACAGUUUGGAGAUUUCUCAAGGAACUCAAAAUAGAACAACCAUUAGACCCAGCAAUCCCACUACUGAGUAUAUACCCAAAGGAAAGUAAUUCAUCCUAUCUUAAAGACACAUAUGCUCCUAUGUUCACUGCAGCACCAUUCACAAUAGCAAGGACAUGGAAUCAACCUAAGAGCCCAUCAACAGUGGAUUGGAGAGAGAAAAUGAGGUACAAAUACACCAUGGAAUACUAUGCAGCCAUAAAAAAGAAUGAAAUCAUGUCCUUUCGCAACAUGGAUGGAGGUGGAAGGCAUUAUGACCUCCAUAAAUGACCUAAUGUAAGAACCUAAAACAAAAUAUUGCAUGUUAUCACUUGUAAGUGGGGCCUAAACGUUGAAGACACAUGAUCACGAAGAUGGGAACAAUAGGCACUGGGGAUCACUAGAUGGGGAAGGAAGGGAGCAGGGGGCAUGGGCUGGAGUGCCACCUGUUGCGUCCUAUACUUAUUCCCUGGGUGAUGGGAUCAUUGGGAUCCCAAGCCUCAGGGUGAUGCAAUUUACCCAUGUAAUAAACCUGCAUGUGUAC